UACGAAGAGGGCUAGCGUUGUUCGGAAUCACUGGGCGUAAAGGGCGCGUAGGCGGCUUUGUAAGUCGGGGGUGAAAGCCUGUGGCUCAACCACAGAAUUGCCUUCGAUACUGCAUGGCUUGAGACCGGAAGAGGUUAGUGGAACUGCGAGUGUAGAGGUGAAAUUCGUAGAUAUUCGCAAGAACACCAGUGGCGAAGGCGGCUGACUGGUCCGGUUCUGACGCUGAGGCGCGAAAGCGUGGGGAGCAAACAGG
Molecule: ribosomal RNA, 253 nt
Filed under: uncultured bacterium
Lineage: Bacteria
Description: partial 16S ribosomal RNA
Rfam family: Bacterial small subunit ribosomal RNA
Source: RNAcentral